GACGAACGCUGGCGGCGUGCCUAAUACAUGCAAGUCGAGCGAUGAAGCUUGGUGCUUGCACCUAUUUGAAGAGCAGCGAACGGGUGAGUAACGCGUGGGUAAUCUGCCUUUGAGCGGGGGACAACAUUUGGAAACGAAUGCUAAUACCGCAUAACAACUUUAAACAUAAGUUUUAAGUUUGAAAGAUGCAAUUGCAUCACUCAAAGAUGAUCCCGCGUUGUAUUAGCUAGUUGGUGAGGUAAAGGCUCACCAAGGCGAUGAUACAUAGCCGAACUGAGAGGGUGAACGGCCACAUUGGGACUGAGACACGGCCCAAACUCCUACGGGAGGCAGCAGUAGGGGAACUUCGGCAAUGGACGAAAGUCUGACCGAGCAACGGCGCGUGAGUGAAGAAGGUUUUCGGAACGGAAAACUCUGUUGGUAGAGAAGAACGGUGGUGAGAGUGGAAAGCGCAUCAAGUGACGGUAACUACUCAGAAAGGGACGGCUAACUACGUG
This 497-nucleotide ribosomal RNA is filed under the name uncultured bacterium. RNAcentral describes it as "partial 16S ribosomal RNA". It matches the Rfam family "Bacterial small subunit ribosomal RNA", at positions 28 to 507 of the family's 1533-position model. The record is from RNAcentral.